UGAGGAAUCUUGCGCAAUGGGGGAAACCCUGACGCAGCAACGCCGCGUGGAGGAUGAAGGUCUUCGGAUUGUAAACUCCUGUCAGAGGGGACGAAUGUUCACGGGCUAAUCACCGUGAGCUUGACGGUACCCUCAGAGGAAGCCACGGCUAACACUGUGCCAGCAGCCGCGGUAAUACAGAGGUGGCGAGCGUUAUUCGGAAUUAUUGGGCGUAAAGGGCGCGUAGGCGGCUUGACAAGUCCCGGGUGAAAUCCCUCGGCUCAACCGAGGAACUGCCUUGGAAACUGUCUGGCUUGAGGCCGGGAGAGGGUAGUGGAAUUCCCAGUGUAGCGGUGAAAUGCGUAGAUACUGGGAGGAACACCGGUGGCGAAGGCGGCUACCUGGACCGGUUCUGACGCUGAGGCGCGAAAGCGUGGGUAGCAAAC
Molecule: ribosomal RNA, 425 nt
Filed under: uncultured bacterium
Lineage: Bacteria
Description: bacterial SSU rRNA
Rfam family: Bacterial small subunit ribosomal RNA
Source: RNAcentral